CACAAAUACAUGGAAGCUGAAGAACACACUCAUAAACCACCAUUGAGGCAAAGAGGAAAACAAAAUGGAAUUUAAAAUAUAUCUCAAGACAAAUGAAAACAAAAACACAACAUACCAAAACACAUGAGAUAGGAUGCAGUAAAAGUAGCACGAAGAAGAAAAUUUAUAGUGAUAAAUGCCUACAUUAAAAAAUAAAAAAAAUCUCAAGUAAACAACAUAACUUUACACCUCAAGAAAUUUAAAAGAUAGAACAAACCAAACCCAAUGUAAGCGGAAGGAAGGAAAUACUAAAGAUUAAGCAGAAUAAAUCAAAUAGAGAACAGAAAAAAAAAAUCAACAAAACUAAGAGUUGGCUUUUUGAAAAAAUAAACAAAAUUGACAAUUAGAUAAAGAAAAAAGAGAGAAGAUCCAAAUAAAUAAAAUCAGAAAUUAAAGAUGAGACAUUACAACAGAUGCCUCAGAUAUAAAAAGGAUCAUAAGGGACUAUUAUAAACAAUUAUAUGCUAACAAAGUGGAUAACCUAGAAGAAAUGAAUAAAUUCCUAGAAACACACACCCUCCCAACACUGAAUCAAGAAGAAACAGAAAGCACGAACAGGUGAAUAACAAAUAAGGAGAUAUAAGCAGUGAUCCAAAACCUCCCAACAGAGGAAAUCGCAGAACUAGAUGUCUUCAUGAGUGAAUCUGUCAAAUAUGCAAAGAAGCAUUAACACCAAUCAUUCCUAAACUCUACCAAAAAAUUGAGGAAGAGAGAAUACUUCCAAACUAAUUUUAUGAGGCCAGCCCAAAGCCAGACAAACACACUGCAAGAUAAUAAUUAACUACAGGCCGAUAUCCCUGAUGAACACAGAUGCAGAAAUCCUCAGGGAAAUACUAGCAGACCAAAUUCAACAGGACAUUGAAAAGAUUAUGCAUUAUGAUACAGUGGAUUUAUCCCUGGGAUGCAAGGAUGGUUCCACAUAGACAAACCAAUCAAUAUGACACACUGUACCAACAGAAUGAAAGAUAAAAAUCACAUGAUCAUCUCAAUACAUGCAGAAAAAGCAUUUGACAAAAUUCAACAUCUUUUCAUGAUAAAACUCUCAACAAAACAGAUAUAGAGGAACAUACCUCAACACAAUAAAGGCCAUAUAUAGAAAGCCCACAGCUAAUGUCAUAAUCAACGGGGAAAAACUGAAAGCUUUUCCUCUAAGAUCCACUACAAGACAAGGAUGCCCACUCUCACCACUUCUAUUCAACAUGGUAUUGGAAGUUCCAGCCAGACUAAUUAGUCAAGGAAAAAAAAAGUCAUCCAAAUCAGAAAGGAAUAAGUAAAAUGAUCACUAUUUGCAAAUGACGUGAUCAUAUAUAUAGAAAACUCUUAGGACUCAUCAAAAAAAACUAUUAACUAAUAAAUGAAUUGAGUAAAGUUAUGGGAUACAAAGUCAACAUACAAAAAUCAACAGUUUUUCUAUA
This 1454-nucleotide long non-coding RNA is filed under the name Equus caballus (horse). Its description in RNAcentral is "lncRNA (ENSECAG00000058003.1)". The record is from RNAcentral. Lineage: Eukaryota; Metazoa; Chordata; Mammalia; Perissodactyla; Equidae.